This is a long non-coding RNA of Passer domesticus (house sparrow), 468 nucleotides long. RefSeq lists it as uncharacterized. The transcript has 3 exons. NCBI's taxonomy places the organism in Eukaryota, Metazoa, Chordata, Aves, Passeriformes, Passeridae. The record is from RefSeq and is a predicted model, not a curated record.
CACUCGGGCCUGAAGGAGAAUCUUCAACAGUGUCACAGGAGCUGUUCUGUCCUGCCUUUCUUUGCAGCUAACCCGGUUGGUGAAAAUUAUCUGGCUUCCCAACCUACAUUCAGGAUUGAGCCUCCGGGAGAUGCUGAGGUGAUGGACCAAAAGGCAGGGCUGAAGGAGGUGUUUCCCCAAGGAAGCAGUGGCUCAUUGGCAGCCCCUGCUGCAGGAAGGAAGGCGAUGCCAGACAAGGGCACAGGCACAGCAGAUGCAGCCGGCACCACAACAUGUGUUCCCGAUACCCACAAGGGCCUUGGAAGGGACUUCUGUAAGGGAGCAGCCUGCUGGGCAGGGUUAAUGGCUGGCCUGCUUUGUUUGGAGCUUGUUCUCAUGUUGUGCUGUGUCAGAUUGUGGUGUUACUGGAAGAAGAAACGGUGAGUGGACAUCUUUCCCUGAAAGAGCUUCUUUUGAAAAUCUAAUACA